RNAcentral lists this ribosomal RNA (253 nucleotides) under uncultured bacterium. RNAcentral describes it as "partial 16S ribosomal RNA". It matches the Rfam family "Bacterial small subunit ribosomal RNA", at positions 524 to 776 of the family's 1533-position model. The record is from RNAcentral.
UACAGAGGUCUCAAGCGUUGUUCGGAUUCAUUGGGCGUAAAGGGUGCGUAGGCGGCGCGGUAAGUCGGGUGUGAAAUCUCGGAGCUUAACUCCGAAACUGCAUUCGAUACUGUCGUGCUUGAGGACUGGAGAGGUGACUGGAAUUUACGGUGUAGCGGUGAAAUGCGUAGAUAUCGUAAGGAAGACCAGUGGCGAAGGCGGGUCUCUGGACAGUUCCUGACGCUGAGGCACGAAGGUCAGGGGAGCAAACGGG